AGGGUUUGAUUCUGGCUCAGGAUGAACGCUGGCGGCAUGCCUAAUACAUGCAAGUCGAACGAGCUACUUCGGUAGCUAGUGGCGAACGGGUGAGUAACACGUAGAUAACCUGCCCAUACCCGGGGGAUACGCUUUGGAAACGAAGUCUAAAACCCCAUAGGAAGAUUUAAGGCAUCUUAAAUUUUUGAAAUAAGCUUUGGCUUAGGGGAUGGAUGGAUCUGCGGUGCAUUAGCUAGUUGGUGAGGUAACAGCUCACCAAGGCGAUGAUGCAUAGCCGGCCUGAGAGGGCGAUCGGCCACACUGGGACUGAGACACGGCCCAG
RNAcentral lists this ribosomal RNA (322 nucleotides) under uncultured bacterium. RNAcentral's name for it is "bacterial SSU rRNA". It matches the Rfam family "Bacterial small subunit ribosomal RNA", at positions 8 to 334 of the family's 1533-position model. The record is from RNAcentral.